AUUGAACGCUGGCGGCAGGCCUAACACAUGCAAGUCGAGCGGAUGAAGGGAGCUUGCUCCUGGAUUCAGCGGCGGACGGGUGAGUAAUGCCUAGGAAUCUGCCUGGUAGUGGGGGAUAACGUCCGGAAACGGGCGCUAAUACCGCAUACGUCCUGAGGGAGAAAGUGGGGGAUCUGGACCUCACGCUAUCAGAUGAGCCUAGGUCGGAUUAGCUAGUUGGUGGGGUAAAGGCCUACCAAGGCGACGAUCCGUAACUGGUCUGAGAGGAUGAUCAGUCACACUGGAACUGAGACACGGUCCAGACUCCUACGGGAGGCAGCAGUGGGGAAUAUUGGACAAUGGGCGAAAGCCUGAUCCAGCCAUGCCGCGUGUGUGAAGAAGGUCUUCGGAUUGUAAAGCACUUUAAGUUGGGAGGAAGGGCAGUAAGUUAAUACCUUGCUGUUUUGACGUUACCAACAGAAUAAGCACCGGCUAACUUCGUG
This 482-nucleotide ribosomal RNA is filed under the name uncultured bacterium. Its description in RNAcentral is "partial 16S ribosomal RNA". It matches the Rfam family "Bacterial small subunit ribosomal RNA", at positions 30 to 507 of the family's 1533-position model. The record is from RNAcentral.